RNAcentral lists this ribosomal RNA (301 nucleotides) under uncultured bacterium. Its description in RNAcentral is "partial 16S ribosomal RNA". It matches the Rfam family "Bacterial small subunit ribosomal RNA", at positions 509 to 807 of the family's 1533-position model. The record is from RNAcentral.
CAGCCGCCACUGUAAUACGGAGGGUGCAAGCGUUAAUCGGAAUUACUGGGCGUAAAGCGCACGCAGGCGGUCUGACAAGUCAGAUGUGAAAUCCCCGGGCUUAACCUGGGAACUGCAUUUGAAACUGUCAGGCUGGAGUCUUGUAGAGGGGGGUGGAAUUCCAGGUGUAGCGGUGAAAUGCGUAGAGAUCUGGAGGAAUACCGGUGGCGAAGGCGGCCCCCUGGACAAAGACUGACGCUCAGGUGCGAAAGCGUGGGGAGCAAACAGGAUUAGAUACCCCUGUAGUCCCUGUCUCUUAUAC